Molecule: ribosomal RNA, 372 nt
Filed under: uncultured eukaryote
Lineage: Eukaryota
Description: partial 18S ribosomal RNA
Rfam family: Eukaryotic small subunit ribosomal RNA
Source: RNAcentral
CAAUAGCGUAUAUUAAAGUUGUUGCAGUUAAAAAGCUCGUAGUUGAAUUUUUGCUUGCCGCCGAUGUCGGAACUUCCGUACGUUCGGCGGCGUGCAUCCUUGGGUGGAACCUGUGUGGCAUUAGGUUGUCGUGCAGGGGAUGCUCAUCGUUUACUGUGAAAAAAUUAGAGUGUUCAAAGCAGGCUUACGCCGUUGAAUAUAUUAGCAUGGAAUAAUAAGAUAGGACCUUGGUACUAUUUUGUCGGUUUGCGCACCGAGGUAAUGAUUAACAGGGACAGUUGGGGGUAUUCGUAUUCCAUUGUCAGAGGUGAAAUUCUUGGAUUUCUGGAAGACGAACUACUGCGAAAGCAUUUACCAAGGAUGUUUUCAUUA